RNAcentral lists this long non-coding RNA (1822 nucleotides) under Olea europaea subsp. europaea. Lineage: Eukaryota; Viridiplantae; Streptophyta; Magnoliopsida; Lamiales; Oleaceae. The record is from RNAcentral.
CUUGAGAUGAUUGAUUCCAAAAUUAUUCUCUAUAAUUUUACCCUAUAUUAUUUCGGCAACUAGAUAAAGGCUCGUUCUUUAUCUUCCUAUGGUCAUGUCCAUAGAAGGAGAGCCACAUGAGUUUUAUCUUGGAGCCGUGUAGUGCCGAAAAGACUCGCACGAAGGGGAGGCAACACGACUUUAGGAUAACGUCUUCGAAGUGACUCCCAAGGCUUGUCAUUUCUAACUCUCCUCUUAUGUUUGUAUUCUUAUUGAAUUAUAUUACUUAUAUGUUUAUAUUUAAAAUGGUUGUGUUAAAUAAUAUUUUAUCUACACACAAAUCACCAAUUUUCUCAACAAUCUAAAAUCGUGUUGAAAUAUUGUGUGUAGUUAAAUCAUAUGUGUAAUCUUAGUGUACCUUUUGUUACCUUUGAUGCCAAAUUAAUUUCAUGUUGCUUAGAAAUUUUGGAUGUGCAUACGUGCCUAAUACACAUCUAUAGCUAGCGUACCAAGACCUGAAUUCUAUUGGUAGAUACCUACUGCUAGUAUAAUACACAUCUAACACAAGUGUCGUAAGCAACCUGUUUGUAUCUGAAGGAAAGUUGGAUCCCCUAACCAGUUGUCUGUCAAGAAUCUCACCCAUGAGUAUUCACCAAUAAUCCAUUUAGCUCUCCUCAUGAGUAAUAGAUAAUUCUCUCGAAUUGAAGGAGAUAUUGAUGAUGAACAACUCUUGAGCAUCAGAAAUAUCCCCUAGGCAUCCUGUUCACCAAGACUCAUAUUCUAGCAAAUUUAAAUACUUGUUCUAGCACAAAAAUUGCAUUAAAUCUGUAGCACUGUAAUACCCGUAGGAAAAAAUUCCAACCGAUGUAUCAAAAGCUUUACGAAUAUCAUUUUUUAGAACCUUGAAAUCAAAUUAUUUUUUUUUUUCAAACCACUAACACACUCUUAAGCCACUGCAACGCACUCUUCAAUUUAUCGCCCCUUAGCAAACUGGUACUGAUUAUCUGACACAGUUUUGGAGCCAAUGGGACUUAAUCGGUUAGUUAGAGUGUUGGUGUUAAUCUUGAACAAGAAGUUGCCAAUGACUAUUGGCCUAGCCUCCUGAACUUUGGGUAUCAAAGUCAUAAAACUAAAGUUUAAGCCUGGCGGAACAAACCUAAUCGUGAAGAAAUACAGUAUUGCAUAUUAGAUUCAGAAAAAUUAGUCACGGACGUAAACAAACCAUCGAGCAUGAGUCUUAAGAUCCCGAUACUAAAUGCAUAAAUGAAUUAGUAUCUCGCAAUAUUGAUUGUUGGAUGCAAUAGAUUAGGUUUUAGUGGUAAGACCAUGUUGUUUCAUGCAAGUUUAUGCAAGUGCAUUGAAUAGGCAAGUGUCUAUAUUAUUAUUUCACACGUAACAAGUUAAAUGCUGAAAUCUUAGAGUAUUUUAAAAUAAAAAUUGGUGUUUUGUCAUGCACAUGAAUCUAUGGAAUAUUUUGAUUUCAUGGAAAUUCUAUGAUUUGAUUAUAAACAAAUGGCUAAAAGAUUUAAACUUCAAUAAUGUGCUUAAUUAAUAUUUUAAAAGAGGUGUAUUAUCAUGACUAAUCUGCAUAAUUUUGUUUACAUCCCAAGUGUAACAUAAAAAUGAAGUUUUAAUAUUUCAAAAUUAAAACCUUCCUAAAUUUUCAGUUUUGACUUUAAUUUUCGUCUUAAAUAUAAAGUUGAAAAUCUUAAUUAUGGAGUGUAACUUAUCCUUUAAAUGGAUUAAUUGUGAGUGGUAUCAUUCCAGCCACCACUUUUAGAGGUUAGGUAUGAAAAUUGAAUGCCUGAGAAUUAAAAGAUAUUAAUAUUAUUGUAAGUUAUAU